CCUACGGGAGGCAGCAGUGGGGGAUAUUGCACAAUGGGGGGAACCCUGAUGCAGCGACGCCGCGUGGGUGAAGAAGCGCCUCGGCGCGUAAAGCCCUGUCAGCAGGGAAGAAAAUGACGGUACCUGAAGAAGAAGCCCCGGCUAACUACGUGCCAGCAGCCGCGGUAAUACGGAGGGGGCAAGCGUUAUCCGGAUUUACUGGGGGUAAAGGGUGCGCAGACGGCGAUGCAAGCCAGGAGUGAAAGCCCGGGGCCCAACCCCUGGACUGCUCUUGGAACUGCGUGGCUGGAGGGCAGGAGGGGCAAGGGGAAUUCCUGGUGUAGCGGUGAAAUGCGUAGAUAUCAGGAGGAACACCAGUGGCGAAGGCGGCCUGCUGGACUGCAACUGACGUUGAGGCCCGAAAGCGUGGGGAGCAAACAGGAUUAGAUACCCUUGUAGUC
This 440-nucleotide ribosomal RNA is filed under the name uncultured bacterium. RNAcentral describes it as "partial 16S ribosomal RNA". It matches the Rfam family "Bacterial small subunit ribosomal RNA", at positions 338 to 795 of the family's 1533-position model. The record is from RNAcentral.